AGUUUGGGGGCAAGGAGGUGCUGCAGCAGGGCAUUAAACAAGUUUUGCAGAAAAACCUGCCAAGCAAGGAAGUGCUCUUAGAUAUGAAGGAGACACAUUUGACAUGCACGGACAGCAGCAGUAAACUGGAGCUGUUUGAGCAUCACUAUCCAGAGAUUUCAUGCGUUGGGAGAUUCGGUCAACCAGACUACAC
Plectropomus leopardus (leopard coralgrouper) is the source of this 193-nucleotide non-coding RNA. The record is from RefSeq and is a predicted model, not a curated record. NCBI's taxonomy places the organism in Eukaryota, Metazoa, Chordata, Actinopteri, Perciformes, Serranidae.